GUGGGGAAUCUUGCGCAAUGGGCGAAAGCCUGACGCAGCCAUGCCGCGUGAAUGAUGAAGGUCUUAGGAUUGUAAAAUUCUUUCACCGGGGACGAUAAUGACGGUACCCGGAGAAGAAGCCCCGGCUAACUUCGUGCCAGCAGCCGCGGUAAUACGAAGGGGGCUAGCGUUGCUCGGAAUUACUGGGCGUAAAGGGCGCGUAGGCGGACAGUUUAGUCAGAGGUGAAAGCCCAGGGCUCAACCUUGGAAUUGCCUUUGAUACUGGCUGUCUUGAGUACGGGAGAGGUGAGUGGAACUCCGAGUGUAGAGGUGAAAUUCGUAGAUAUUCGGAAGAACACCAGUGGCGAAGGCGACUCACUGGCCCGUUACUGACGCUGAGGCGCGAAAGCGUGGGAGCAAACAGGAUUAGAUACCCCGGUAGUCC
RNAcentral lists this ribosomal RNA (424 nucleotides) under uncultured bacterium. Its description in RNAcentral is "partial 16S ribosomal RNA". It matches the Rfam family "Bacterial small subunit ribosomal RNA", at positions 354 to 796 of the family's 1533-position model. The record is from RNAcentral.